GACGAACGCUGGCGGCGUGCUUAACACAUGCAAGUCGAACGGUAAGGCCCUUCGGGGUACACGAGUGGCGAACGGGUGUGUAACACGUGGGUGAUCUGCCCUGCACUUCGGGAUAAGCCUGGGAAACUGGGUCUAAUACCGGAUAGGACCACUGCCUGCAUGGGUGGUGGUGGAAAGCUUUUGCGGUGUGGGAUGGGCCCGCGGCCUAUCAGCUUGUUGGUGGGGUGAUGGCCUACCAAGGCGACGACGGGUAGCCGGCCUGAGAGGGUGACCGGCCACACUGGGACUGAGAUACGGCCCAGACUCCUACGGGAGGCAGCAGUGGGGAAUAUUGCACAAUGGGCGCAAGCCUGAUGCAGCGACGCCGCGUGAGGGAUGACGGCCUUCGGGUAGUAAACCUCUUUCAGCACCGACGAAGCGCAAGUGACGGUAGGUGCAGAAGAAGGACCGGCCAACUACGUGCCAGCCGCCGCAGUAA
RNAcentral lists this ribosomal RNA (478 nucleotides) under uncultured bacterium. RNAcentral's name for it is "partial 16S ribosomal RNA". It matches the Rfam family "Bacterial small subunit ribosomal RNA", at positions 28 to 523 of the family's 1533-position model. The record is from RNAcentral.